RNAcentral lists this ribosomal RNA (498 nucleotides) under uncultured bacterium. Its description in RNAcentral is "partial 16S ribosomal RNA". It matches the Rfam family "Bacterial small subunit ribosomal RNA", at positions 27 to 507 of the family's 1533-position model. The record is from RNAcentral.
GGAUGAACGCUGGCGGCGUGCCUACUACAUGCAAGUCGAGCGAACGGACGAGAAGCUUGCUUUUCUGAUGUUAGCGGCGGACGGGUGAGUAACACGUGGAUAACCUACCUAUAAGACUGGGAUAACUUCGGGAAACCGGAGCUAAUACCGGAUAAUAUUUUGAACCGCAUGGUUCAAAAGUGAAAGACGGUCUUGCUGUCACUUAUAGAUGGAUCCGCGCUGCAUUAGCUAGUUGGUAAGGUAACGGCUUACCAAGGCAACGAUGCAUAGCCGACCUGAGAGGGUGAUCGGCCACACUGGAACUGAGACACGGUCCAGACUCCUACGGGAGGCAGCAGUAGGGAAUCUUCCGCAAAGGGCGAAAGCCUGACGGAGCAACGCCGCGUGAGUGAUGAAGGUCUUCGGAUCGUAAAACUCUGUUAUUAGGGAAGAACAUAUGUGUAAGUAACUGUGCACAUCUUGACGGUACCUAAUCAGAAAGCCACGGCUAACUACGUG